RNAcentral lists this ribosomal RNA (301 nucleotides) under uncultured bacterium. Its description in RNAcentral is "partial 16S ribosomal RNA". It matches the Rfam family "Bacterial small subunit ribosomal RNA", at positions 509 to 809 of the family's 1533-position model. The record is from RNAcentral.
CAGCCGCCGCGGUAACACGGAGGGUGCAAGCGUUAUCCGGAUUUAUUGGGUUUAAAGGGUCCGUAGGCGGAUCUGUAAGUCAGUGGUGAAAUCUCACAGCUUAACUGUGAAACUGCCAUUGAUACUGCAGGUCUUGAGUAAAUUUGAAGUGGCUGGAAUAAGUAGUGUAGCGGUGAAAUGCAUAGAUAUUACUUAGAACACCAAUUGCGAAGGCAGGUCACUAAGAUUUAACUGACGCUGAUGGACGAAAGCGUGGGGAGCGAACAGGAUUAGAUACCCCCGUAGUCCCUGUCUCUUAUAA